UCGAAUGUCUGACAGAGUAUCUAUCUUAGACAACAGUAUUUUCUCUCCUUUAAAUUUUAAAAUUACAAUAGAUUAGCUGUAUAGUGUUCUUUUGAUUGAACCUGAGAGUGUUAUUUUAAUUUUUAUUUUAAUAGGAAUCAAGCAUGUUCCAAGGAAUUUCGGGGACGUACCGAAACAUAAACUUUAUGUUUAAUGAAAAAUGUGUUUUUAUAACUGGAGCAACAGGAUUCUUAGGCAAGGUUCUCUUAGAAAAGUUAAUUCGGUCAUGCCCGACUCUGUCCAAAGUGCUUGUGCUGAUACGGAGCAAUGAAAA
Non-coding RNA from Parasteatoda tepidariorum (common house spider), 313 nucleotides. Lineage: Eukaryota; Metazoa; Arthropoda; Arachnida; Araneae; Theridiidae. The record is from RefSeq and is a predicted model, not a curated record.